GAUGAACGCUGGCGGCGUGCCUAAUACAUGCAAGUCGAGCGAACGGACGUGAAGCUUGCUUUUCUGAUGUUAGCGGCGGACGGGUGAGUAACACGUGGAUAACCUACCUAUAAGACUGGGAUAACUUCGGGAAACCGGAGCUAAUACCGGAUAAUAUUUUGAACCGCAUGGUUCAAAAGUGAAAGACGGUCUUGCUGUCACUUAUAGGUGGAUCCGCGCUGCAUUAGCUAGUUGGUAAGGUAACGGCUUACCAAGGCAACGAUGCAUAGCCGACCUGAGAGGGUGAUCGGCCACACUGGAACUGAGACACGGUCCAGACUCCUACGGGAGGCAGCAGUAGGGAAUCUUCCGCAAUGGGCGAAAGCCUGACGGAGCAACGCCGCGUGAGUGAUGAAGGUCUUCGGAUCGUAAAACUCUGUUAUUAGGGAAGAACAUAUGUGUAAGUAACUGUGCACAUCUUGACGGUACCUAAUCAGAAAGCCACGGCUAACUACGUG
Molecule: ribosomal RNA, 497 nt
Filed under: uncultured bacterium
Lineage: Bacteria
Description: partial 16S ribosomal RNA
Rfam family: Bacterial small subunit ribosomal RNA
Source: RNAcentral